UCAUUUCGUAAGAGCAAAUUACGCUAGUUUUCGGUAAAAAGUGGCCAUUAACCCCGCCCCCUCAAGGUAUUCCGCAUCCUACAGCCACAGCAAUAAACCACGGGACGCGACAACAACAAAAAAAGGUCCUGCGGGACGUGAUUAUUACUCUAAGGUUCCCCCGAAGCCGCCCUCCAAAAGAAAUAGAAACACCAUGCGAACAAUACGCGAUUUGCCAACCGAAUUCCAUUGCCGUAGGUAAGCAACACAGGAAACCCACAAAUGCGGUCAAGGCUUGUCUUGCUCUUGAACCAACAAGUGAAGAGAAUAGCACGGGAGGACGUCCUUGCCCGAACAAGGAUCCAA
Molecule: unclassified non-coding RNA, 345 nt
Filed under: Ophiorrhiza trichocarpon
Lineage: Eukaryota; Viridiplantae; Streptophyta; Magnoliopsida; Gentianales; Rubiaceae
Description: partial external transcribed spacer
Source: RNAcentral